GAUGAACGCUGGCGGCGUGCCUAAUACAUGCAAGUCGAGCGAACGGACGAGAAGCUUGCUUUUCUGAUGUUAGCGGCGGACGGGUGAGUAACACGUGGAUAACCUACCUAUAAGACUGGGAUAACUUCGGGAAACCGGAGCUAAUAUCGGAUAAUAUUUUGAACCGCAUGGUUCAAAAGUGAAAGACGGUCUUGCUGUCACUUAUAGAUGGAUCCGCGCUGCAUUAGCUAGUUGGUAAGGUAACGGCUUACCAAGGCAACGAUGCAUAGCCGACCUGAGAGGGUGAUCGGCCACACUGGAACUGAGACACGGUCCAGACUCCUACGGGAGGCAGCAGUAGGGAAUCUUCCGCAAUGGGCGAAAGCCUGACGGAGCAGCGCCGCGUGAGUGAUGAAGGUCUUCGGAUCGUAAAACUCUGUUAUUAGGGAAGAACAUAUGUGUAAGUAACUGUGCACAUCUUGACGGUACCUAAUCAGAAAGCCACGGCUAACUACGUG
Molecule: ribosomal RNA, 497 nt
Filed under: uncultured bacterium
Lineage: Bacteria
Description: partial 16S ribosomal RNA
Rfam family: Bacterial small subunit ribosomal RNA
Source: RNAcentral